RNAcentral lists this non-coding RNA (153 nucleotides) under Gracilibacillus boraciitolerans. RNAcentral describes it as "FMN sequence". It matches the Rfam family "FMN riboswitch aptamer (RFN element)". Rfam says of the family: The RFN element is a highly conserved domain that is found frequently in the 5'-untranslated regions of prokaryotic mRNAs that encode for flavin mononucleotide (FMN) biosynthesis and transport proteins. RNAcentral also lists the same sequence under 1 other name. Lineage: Bacteria; Bacillati; Bacillota; Bacilli; Caryophanales; Bacillaceae. The record is from RNAcentral.
AUAUUCCUUUGGGGCAGGGUGUAAUUCCCGACCGACGGUGAUAAAGCUUAACUGCUUUUUAGUCCGUGACCCGGAUCAUUUUUGAAAAAUGUGAAGGUGGAUUUGGUGUAAAUCCAAAGCCGACAGUAACAGUCUGGAUGGGAAAAGGAAUGG